This 465-nucleotide ribosomal RNA is filed under the name uncultured bacterium. RNAcentral describes it as "partial 16S ribosomal RNA". It matches the Rfam family "Bacterial small subunit ribosomal RNA", at positions 28 to 507 of the family's 1533-position model. The record is from RNAcentral.
GACGAACGCUGGCGGCGUGCUUAACACAUGCAAGUCGAACGGUGAACUCCGCUUGCGGGGGGAUCAGUGGCGAACGGGUGAGUAACACGUGGGCAACCUGCCCUCAGCUCUGGGAUAACUCCAAGAAAUUGGGGCUAAUACCGGAUAUGACCGCUGACCGCAUGGUCUGGUGGUGGAAAGAUUUAUCGGCUGGGGAUGGGCCCGCGGCCUAUCAGCUUGUUGGUGGGGUAGAGGCCUACCAAGGCGACGACGGGUAGCCGGCCUGAGAGGGUGACCGGCCACACUGGGACUGAGACACGGCCCAGACUCCUACGGGAGGCAGCAGUGGGGAAUAUUGCGCAAUGGGCGAAAGCCUGACGCAGCGACGCCGCGUGGGGGAUGACGGCCUUCGGGUUGUAAACCUCUUUCAGCAGGGACGAAGCGAAAGUGACGGUACCUGCAGAAGAAGCACCGGCCAACUACGUG